RNAcentral lists this long non-coding RNA (205 nucleotides) under Lathyrus oleraceus (garden pea). Its description in RNAcentral is "Pisum sativum (pea) long non-coding RNA (PSAT_LNC021237)". Lineage: Eukaryota; Viridiplantae; Streptophyta; Magnoliopsida; Fabales; Fabaceae. The record is from RNAcentral.
UUAGUCUCGCCAACUGAGUUUGAGUUUGUCUGCCCAACCGAGUUUUGAGAUCGCUUCCCUAGCUAAGUUGUGAGCAUGUAUUCUCAACGGUUUGCAUAGAUUCAGUACAAAUUUUUGUUUCCCCUUAGUUCCCCAGCGGAUUUCACUCCUGAUCCCCCAUUAACAUUGAUUCUUAAGCAGUUUUGGUAGUAUCCCCUGCGAGGUU